Molecule: long non-coding RNA, 6678 nt
Filed under: Panax ginseng (ginseng)
Lineage: Eukaryota; Viridiplantae; Streptophyta; Magnoliopsida; Apiales; Araliaceae
Description: long non-coding RNA (PGIN_LNC000569)
Source: RNAcentral
AUAUUCUAAGUGUCCAGAAAAUAUUUUUUUGGCAAAUGUCAGGCCUUAUAUCUCGGUUAUCUUUAAUGUGUUUUGUGUUCUAAAGGUUGUUAUGUGUAGCGUGUUAUGUGGUAUUUAACCUCCAAAAAGAAUCAGGUCCAUAUAUAUUAUGGAUUAAGAGUUAUUUAAGGUCAAAGUGGGUUGACCGGCAUUGACCGAAAAAUUCUGGGCAGCCCAGAAUUUUCUAAGUGUUGAUUUUUCUGACAAGGUUUGACCAUACUUUAGCUGCUUGAUUUCUUGUUGUUAUGAUGAUGUUAAGUGUUAAAGUUGUAGUCCUAUAUGUUGUCUACACACUGGAGUUGAUAGAUCACAUAAACGUUACACGAUCGUCAAGUUAUAGAGGCCCAAAGUAGGCAUCACGAACUGUUCUUUACGAAGAACAGCUCUGACAGCUAUUUUGAUAGCUAAUUUCUCCCAGAUCUGAUGUUGUUUAGAAGUAAUGAUUGUUGGUUAUUGUAGUCCGGUAUUUUGUCUACAAGAUCCAAGUCAUAUAUGUCCCAUAUUCGUUAAGAGCACAAAGUUAUUCACGGUCAAAGUAGUCUCCUCACACGCUGCUCUGACAGUGUUCUUGAGAUGAAGAACACCUAUAGCGACGAUUUUGUCACUAUAGGCCCCUUUGGCGACAGAUUUGAAUUAUUUUAAAUUUUUCAAUUUCUGGAAAUUGCGAAAAUGAUUAAAAAUAAGAUGUCUGAUAUUUACAGAUGUUGAGGUAUAGAAUAAGAGUCUUAGACUCAGUAUUUACCCGAUAAAGCUGUCGGUACGCCGACAAAUGUCAGACCUUAUAAAAGAAAGAAAAGACUACUGUAAGAGCAUGGAUGAGAUAUUUGAAAAAUGUAUAAAAAUAUUUCAAGUAUAGAAUAGGAACUAAAAGUAUGAUCACUGUGAUUAUGUGAUUAGACUAUGUGCUGACUGUAAUAGACAGUACUAUGUGUUAAGAUAUAUUGUUCUAAUCGAACGAAUGAUCUGAUUAUUGAUAGGUUGUGAUAAAGAGAUAAAACCUAAGUUGAGAUUUGUAAUCAGCGAAUCAGGCAAGUAUCCUACCUUUGCAUUUUCUUUAUGCAAUGGACAUGAGUAAGAAGUUUCAGAAUUAUUCUAUUCCUGUACAGAUUAUGUACGCUUUGAUUAUCAACAUGUUAGCUCAGAUAUAUAUUCUGUUAAGUUGAUUUCUAAAUGGUUAUACAAGUGUCCCCACUUGGAUAAUCAUGGCAUUUAUUCACAUGUUGAUAUACCUUUGUCAAUUACCCGUAUACAUAUAUGUUGAAUUACAUAUUAUUGUUGAGCAAGAUUAAAAACCUUCGGGUUUGGAACCAGGCAUGUAUGAACAUCCCGAUAAUGGGAAAAUUUUUAUGCGCUUCGGCGGACAAAGGGUGAGCGAUGAAUUUCGUUCAAGUUAUGUAGUAUUGAUCAAUACAGGGUACAACGGGGCUGAUCACCCUCCGUGCCCGUAAGUUAUGACGGUUUGCGGAUGAAUUUCUGCUAAACCUUUUCGAAAAUGAAAAACCAUGUUCAUAGUAUGUUUCUUAAACCCUAUUCAUGGGUGGAGCCUAAUUUCAAGAAAUUGAAAGAGAGUUGUUAUGUGAAUUUUUUAUCAGUACAGAUUACUUCACAACUUUCGAUUCGUUGUAGAAGUGUUAUGUAAAGAGAAUACUUAUAUUCUUUCAGCUUAUAUAUAUAAUUGCUAUUACUUGCUGGGCACUCAAAUGCUCAUCCUUGCUUAAACUAAAUGUUUUCAGUUACGUACGAUCGACCUGAAGGCUCAGGCACGAACAAGGGAAAAGAAAAGCUGUUCGAAUGAGAUUUAGUAUGAGUUAAUGGUUAUAGUUAGUAAGACAAUGGAAUCUAUUGUCAGGUAUUGUAAGGAAUGUAUUUGAAGGUCACGUACCUGGGGAAGUAAACUUUGAUGUAUGUAAAUUAAGUUCGAAUGUAUUAUUAUUUAGUAUUAUUCAGCUUAAAGAAAUGGUAUCGUGGAGAACCGAGUUCGGGUUUCAAGUACCCGGAUUUGGGGUCGCCACAGGUUGGUAUCAAAGCUGUAGGUUAUAAACGUUAGGAAUACGAAACCUAGGUUAUAACCUUAGUAGAAUAAAGGACGAAAGUUAAGAUAGAUAUUCAGUGAACCAUGAGAUGAAGUACUCUGGUGAGAAGUUAUAGGAUAUGAUGAGUCGAAGAGAUUCAUCAAGUGGUACUAAAUAAAAUAUUCCUUCAUUUUAUCGAUGAAUAUAUUUUAUUUCGGUACUAAUGUUGUCUCGUUUAUUGUGGUCAUAAGAUGAAUGACAAAAGUCAAGAUAGUAAUUCCUUGACCCAAGAGACGAUGGACUCUAACGAGGAGUACACAGACAGUGAGAUGAUAAGAGAUUUAUUAGUUAGGAACGAUGACUUAAAGGUUAGAGCUGAGCAAGCGGAGGCACAUAAUCGUACUCUCCAGAUUUUGGAACAGCAGUAUAAGGACGCUGCUCACCGAACACAGAUAGAAUUAGCAGAGUUACGAGGGAGGUUGGAGCAGAGAGAGAUACGGAUAGGACAGUUGAAGGUUGAGAUAGAAGCCAAAGACACCAAGAUAUAUACCUUGGAGCAGGCUUUAGUCAUCACCUUCAUGCAAUUCGAUGCAGAGUGGAUGGAGCUGCCUUUCGGCAGAGAGAUAGGCGUUGAUGAGAAUUGAAUAAAUUUAUCGUCAAACAAAAUAAGAGACAACAUAUAUAAAACUCUUGAUUGCUGUGUAUAUAUACACUAUGCUAAACAGGGUAACUUAUGUAUGUAGAUGUCUGGUGAGAAAGAUAUGUGGAAUAAGAAGGAUCAUAUUCGUACCCCCGAGCUAAUAUCGAGGCCAACAGCUGAAAUAGAAGCUCACCAGGAACCCAAAUCGGACGAGGUGGCUAUCGUGGAAAACGUAACAUCAGAUCCAGAAAUGGUGGAUUUGACAGAUAGUGAUUCAGACACUAAAGUUGAAACUGCUCAAGCAUCAACGGAGGUGCAGGAUCUGGAGAACAAGGUUUCUUCCUUGGAAAGGUUGUGGGAGAUAGAAAAGUUGUUGCGUCAGGCAUUAAUAGAAACAAUGGAAGAACAUGAUAAGCUUAAGAUCCAAAUUGAUCAGAUGGGAGCCUCAAGAAACACUUCGUGUGCAGCUCUGAGAGAUAAGGGAAAAAGAAAAAUAGAAGAUUGUGACUUGGAAAGACCUAGUAAGUAGAGAAGGAGAAUGAAUGAUUGUGAUCCUGAUAAUAACCAAGGAAAAAGUAACCGAAUAAAAAGGUGUGUAAAAUGUAACAAGAAACAUGAAGGCGUGUGCAGAAAAGGGACAAAUAAUUGCUACAAUUGCGGACAUAUGGGACAUUUCUCUCCUCAUUGUCCCAAUCCGAGGCAGUAUGUCUGUUUUGUUUGUGGAAAGAAAGAUCAUCAGGCGAAAAGCUGUCCAAGAAAGAAGGCUUAGUAAAUAGGUAGUAUGGGUUAUGUUNNNNNNNNNNNNNNNNNNNNNNNNNNNNNNNNNNNNNNNNNNNNNNNNNNNNNNNNNNNNNNNNNNNNNNNNNNNNNNNNNNNNNNNNNNNNNNNNNNNNNNNNNNNNNNNNNNNNNNNNNNNNNNNNNNNNNNNNNNNNNNNNNNNNNNAAGUUUCAAAAUUUAAUAUUUUGGAAUACAUGAUUAUUUGAGUAGAAAAUUUAAUGUUAUAUGUUGAACGAAUACGAUGAGGCUUAGAAUCUAAGGAAAUGAAGAAUAAUUUAUGAUUAUGUCACCGAGAUGAAAACGAAAACCAGCCGCGGAAGAUCAACCAGAUAAUCGAACGUCGAACGCCAAAGACUUUAAGACAAUCCUAUUGCUAGGGUAUAGAGGAUUAAGUGACUCAGUAGAAGCGUUUAUGAUAGUUAGGAUAACGAAAAGGGCAAAAGAUAACUUUUAUCACCUAUACGAUAAAAGGGAAAUGAGAUAAAGAGAAAGUUUAUGGGCAAAAGAGACAUAUCUCUUCCAAUUAUCCCAAUUCAAGAAUGUAUAGCGAAUGUUUUAUUUGUGAAUCAAUGGAGUAUAAGGUGAAAGAUUAUUCAAGAAGGAGAAGUGAGAUAAGGAAUGCGAAUACGAGAAAUGACAGCAAGAUAUAGGCGACAACGAAACCAAUUUCAACAAACAACCCAACUGCGAGGGUCUACAACAUGACGGUACAGGAUACGGUGGCAGCUGGAAACAGAACUCCAGGUGCUAUUUGAAUAACUUAUGUGUCUUAUAUGAUUUUCCUGUAUAUAUUUUAGAUUAUUUUUUUUAAAGAAAUUUUGAGUUCUUUUAGAAAUCAAAUUUCUGCCUAAUAAGAGUAUUAUGAAGAAUAGUUAAAGAUCAGUUCGAUCAAGUAUGAUCGAGGUCUACGUACAAUGAUUAUAUGCUAUGUACCCUUCUGCAUAUGAGUUUUUAAAGCGGUGAUUCCGGGGACGGAAUCCUUAUAAGGGAGGGUGAAUGUAAUAACCCGAGAUUUCCUAAAUAAAAUAAAUAAGAAAAUUUGCGUAAUAUUUUUUUUUUAUUUAAUGACGAGAAUAAGUGUCUAGUAAUGUGAACGAUAAAUGCGAAUAUAUUUAUUACUUGAAAAAUUAGAAAUAAUUUUGGAAUUAUUAAUUACUACAAAUUAUAUUUUUAUGGUAAUUAAUUUCUGUAAGCAGAAAUGUUUUUAUUAAUUAUUUUCCAUGAAAACAUGAUUGGAAAUAAUAUAUGAAGUGAUAAUUAGAAUUUAUAUAAUAUAUAUUUUAUUAUAUGAAUUGUUCAGAAUAUUUAAAUCAAGUAUUUUAACUUGAUAUGCGAAAGAGAAGUCAGAUAUGAGAUCCAAACCCUGAAUUGGGAUUGUGAUCAAGAGAUGAGAAUAAUAAUAUUAUAUUAUUGUUAUAAUGAUUUUACAGUACAAUAAUUAUGUACUGUGUAUGUGCGGACAGAUAAUAUUGAGCAAUGACGGUCAAUUAGGUCAUAGCAUAUUACCGUGCUGUGAAACCCUAAUUAUUAAACUUAGUUAUGAGAAAUGACUGAGUAGUGACUGUGUAUAUGAAGUUUACUGUGUAUAUGAAGGUUACUGUGUAUAAGAUGUCGGUAAUUAGAAGAAAACCCUAAUUACUGUUGUUUGUCGAUAAUUAGGACAAACCCUAAUUAUUACAACCCUAAUCGGUUGAAGUUAGAGAUUGUAAUGACUGUGUUAGAACAUACACAGAUAAUUAGAGAAUCCUAAUGGUCAAUUAGAAACCCUAAUUGAUGGCGUUAAGAAACCCUAAUUAGAAAACCCUAAUUUUUCAAUCAAAACCCUAAUUUAAAAUUAUCGGGUUUAAUUACGAUGUUAAUGUAUAAAAGUUUUAAUUUACCAAAGGAUAGAAUUAAUUGGUAAAUGAUAAGAAUUACCAUCUAGUGAUUAAAUACUACAUUUAAUUGCUAUGUACAAAAAUGCCCAUGAAAUUAUAUGCGAAAUUACCAAAAUGCCCUUUUUGGCUUAUUAGUGUAUUAUUAGUGUAUUAUUGGAGGAAUCUUGCUAGCAAAGCAUGGCAAACAUACUUACCCUACCAAUUAAGCAUCCAAGACUCAAUUAUGCAGAUUCAAUCAACCAUUGAGUAGCAUCCAAUGCAUCUAACUUGGUUUAUAUAUAGAUUGGAGAGAGAUAAUAUAUUUUGUACACUAAAAUUCAUCCAACUCUCAUCCUUAAGCUUCUCUCUCUAAAACCUACGAAUUAUUGUAGCAUAUCAGUCCCUAAACAAAGCCCAACCAUCACAAACAACAAAUCAGAAGCAUCAAGAAGCCAGAAAUCAAAAAUCAAGCUUGAAAAGGUAGGAAAUCCUAAAUUCUAGAAAUCCUUCGAUUCGAUGUUAAUUGAUGCAAUUGAUUGUUUAAAGUAGUGUAAUAGAGAGUCUAUUAAUGUUCUGGGUUGUAAAAUCAUGAACCCAUAACAUCAAAGUGCACGAAUUUGAAGAUUUAAACAAGUUGGAAAAACCGAAUUCUGUUAUUUUUCACCAAAUGUCAGAGGCUAUAACUCUUUGGUCGAUCUCGAGUUUUGUUGUUUAAAAGUUGUUAUAGGUAGCCUGAUAUGUGGUCUUUAAUCUCCAAAAGGAAUAAAGUUCAUAUCUAUUGUAGAUCGGGAUUUAUAAGCGGUCAAAGUGGGUUGACCGGCAUUGACCGGCUGUUCUUCAAACCCAGAAAAUAUUCUAAGUGUCCAGAAAAUAUUUUUUUGGAAAAUGUCAGGCCUUAUAUCUCGGUUAUCUUUAAUGUGUUUUGUGUUCUAAAGGUUGUUAUGUGUAGCUUGUUAUGUGGUAUUUAACCUCCAAAAAGAAUCAGGUCCAUAUAUAUUAUGGAUUAAGAGUUAUUUAAGGUCAAAGUGGGUUGACCGGCAUUGACCGGAAAAUUCUGGGCAGCCCAGAAUUUUCUAAGUGUUGAUUUUUCUGACAAGGUUUGACCAUACUUUAGCUGCUUGAUUUCUUGUUGUUAUGAUGAUGUUAAGUGUUAAAGUUGUAGUCCUAUAUGUUGUCUACACACUGGAGUUGAUAGAUCACAUAAACGUUACACGAUCGUCAAGUUAUAGAGGCCCAAAGUAGGCAUCACGAACUGUUCUUCACGAAGAACAGCUCUGACAGCUAUUUUGAUGGCUAAUUUCUCCCAGAUCUGAUGUUGUUUAGAAGUAAUGAUUGUUGGUUAUUGUAUUCCGG